UGCGGGCCGGGCGGUGGUUACUUCACAGUGCCAGUUGAAGGCAGUAACCCCGCCCAUGUCAGUUAGCAGCUAAUUUGAAUAUACAGAAAACCAGCUAUAACGGACGAACGGCCAGCGGAUCUGGGCAAGGGCUCCAAGCUGGAUAAUCCCAUCACAGCAUCCUCCCAUAUCCAAUACAUAACAGGUUCCUCCAUCCGUACUCCAGGAUUUUGAAAGGUCUUAGUUUUUGGCAUCACCUUACAUGUGAAACAGUGACCACAUGGGAAUGAUCCUAUUCUGAUAGCUGUGUACUAGAAGGUGUCUCAAGUUUGGUCCUCUUCUUUAUGUUAUAUUAGGUCUUUCUCCCUGGGAAUUGACACCACACUAUAAAUUGAUAACUCAGACCAGGAAUAAUUAUAGGAGAACAGUUCCGGCAUAUGGAGGACCUAGCCUACAAUCAUGCACAAGACGGAGGAGCAUGAUACACAAAUACUAAGUAUUUGGUCAUGCGCAAUGGAAUGAAAAUGGCACAUAGUUUAAGUCCGUGGCCGUGCGUAGAUAGUCCACCUACAGGAUAGAAAAAGAAAAGUUUGCGAUCAUGUGUAGAACAACGAGAGGAUGCCCAUGAUCACGAGAGCUGCAUGGAAGAUCGUGAGAAUAUCGUAGAAUGCUAUGUGACUAUCACAUGACAU
Long non-coding RNA from Hyla sarda, 671 nucleotides. RefSeq lists it as uncharacterized. NCBI's taxonomy places the organism in Eukaryota, Metazoa, Chordata, Amphibia, Anura, Hylidae. The transcript has 3 exons. The record is from RefSeq and is a predicted model, not a curated record.